GUGGGGAAUUUUGCGCAAUGGGGGAAACCCUGACGCAGCGACGCCGCGUGGGCGAUGAAGGUCCUCGGACCGUAAAGCCCUGUCGAGAGGGACGAACCGUGUGAGCUCUAACAUAGCUCAUACCUGACGGUACCUCUGGAGGAAGCCCCGGCCAACUCUGUGCCAGCAGCCGCGGUAAUACAGGGGGGGCAAGCGUUAUUCGGAAUUAUUGGGCGUAAAGGGCGUGUAGGCGGCCUAGUAUGUCUUCUGUGAAAGCCCUCGGCUCAACCGAGGAACUGCAGGAGAAACUGCAAGGCUCGAGUCCGGGAGAGGAAAGCGGAAUUCCCAGUGUAGCGGUGAAAUGCGUAGAUAUUGGGAGGAACACCAGUGGCGAAGGCGGCUUUCUGGACCGGUACUGACGCUGAGACGCGAAAGCCAGGGGAGCAAACGGGAUUAGAAACCCGUGUAGUCC
This 451-nucleotide ribosomal RNA is filed under the name uncultured bacterium. Its description in RNAcentral is "bacterial SSU rRNA". It matches the Rfam family "Bacterial small subunit ribosomal RNA", at positions 354 to 796 of the family's 1533-position model. The record is from RNAcentral.